RNAcentral lists this long non-coding RNA (543 nucleotides) under Equus caballus (horse). RNAcentral's name for it is "lncRNA (ENSECAG00000042730.2)". Lineage: Eukaryota; Metazoa; Chordata; Mammalia; Perissodactyla; Equidae. The record is from RNAcentral.
GUGCAAACAGCAGACUCCUGACUAAUAGGUGGGGCCUGUCUGAGGAGUUAGGUCGUCAUAGCUGUAUGUCUGGGUCCUAUGGAGCCACAGGCUGAAGCACAAGUCUUUGUCAUUGUGCCAGAUCACCGGGUGCAACCCUGAGCAAGAGAGGGGGGCAUCCUCCCACCUCUGCUGAGGUCACAGCCGGGCUCCAGGGAGACCACAACUAUGUGGCCCCUCUGGAUCCUCAAGGACUGCUGCCUUGAGAGGCUGGCAGAUCCCCCGGACAGGAGAAUAGUCUCAGCCAUCACAGGCCUGAGCAGCAAUGGAAGUGAAGAACCCUCAAGCGGCUUCACAGGCAGCCAAAUUCCACAAGGGGGCGGGGCAGUCGAGAGCAGAAGAUGUCCUGAGGAGGUAGCAGAUGCUCAGAGGGGAUGACCACAGGCUACACCUGUGACCCGGGCACUGGGUUUCCCAGCUUCGCCAGCAGGCCAACGGUCCUGGCAGGAUCGAGGAGCGAGAACCAGCAAGCCUACCCUUUCAGGGAAGUGGAGGGCUUCCAAC